UGGUUGGGGUGAGAGAUAGAUAGUGGUUGGGGUGAGAGAUAGAUAGUGGUUGGGGUGAGAGAUAGAUAGUGGUUGGGGUGAAAGAGAGAUAGUGGUUGGGGUGAGAGAGAUAGUGGUUGGGGUGAGAGAUAGAUAGUGGUUGGGGUGAAAGAGAGAUAGUGGUUGGGGUGAAAGAGAGAUAGUGGUUGGGGUGAGAGAGAGAGUGGUUGGGGUGAGAAAGAGAGUGGUUGGGGUGAGAGAGAUAGUGGUUAGGGUGAGAGAGAGAAAUAGUGGUUGGGGUGAGAGAGAGAUAGUGGUUGGGGUGAGAGAUAGAUAGUGGUUGGGGUGAGAGAUAGAUCGUGGUUGGGGUGAGAGAUAGAUAGUGGUUGGGGUGAGAGAUAGAUAGUAGUUGGGGUGAGAGAUAGAUAGUGGUUGGGGUGAGAGAUAGAGAGUGGUUGGGGUGAGAGAGAUAGUGGUUGGGGUGAGAGAGAGAGAUAGAUAUUGGGGUGAGAGAUAGAUAGUGUUUGGGGUGAAAGAGAGAUAGUGG
Long non-coding RNA from Oncorhynchus tshawytscha (Chinook salmon), 526 nucleotides. The record is from Ensembl. NCBI's taxonomy places the organism in Eukaryota, Metazoa, Chordata, Actinopteri, Salmoniformes, Salmonidae.